RNAcentral lists this long non-coding RNA (2196 nucleotides) under Piliocolobus tephrosceles (Ugandan red Colobus). RNAcentral's name for it is "lncRNA (ENSPTEG00000020265.1)". Lineage: Eukaryota; Metazoa; Chordata; Mammalia; Primates; Cercopithecidae. The record is from RNAcentral.
GCGAAGCAAAAUUAAUAAAUCCCAUAAAAUAAUAUAAGGCAGUGAUAAUGAAUAAAAAUUAAAACUCAAAUGGUAUAAUCUAAUACAUAUAUAAUUAUUUAAAAAUAAUAAUAAAUGUUAAAAAAAAGUAUGUAUAUGUAUACAUAUAUUAUAUUAAUGAAUUAAUAAAACUAAGGCAAAUAAAAAGUAUAAUAAAAUAAUAAGGUAGAAAUGUUUACCAUUUAAAUAUUUAUACAUAUAUAUAUAUAUAUAUAACUUUUUUUUUUUUUUUUUAACAUGCUAUAUAUUAUGAAAAAAAAAAAAAAAAAAAAAAAAAAAAAAAAAAUGAAACAAAUUAUUAUAAUAUGAUACAGUUCGUUAGUUUUUUUAUAAAUAUAUUUAUUAUAUAUACAAAUACAUAUACAAACGCGUAUACAGACGCAUAUACAAACGCAUAUACAAACGCAUAUACAAACNNNNNNNNNNACGCAUAUACAAACGCAUAUACAAACGCAUAUACAAACACAUAUACAAACGCAUAUAUGUAAAUACAUAUGUAUGUAUAUGUAUAUACAACAAGAGAACAAAAGUUAGAAGUGUCCUUUAAAGAAGUCCAAAAGCUUCGCAUGUUCGUUAUUCAAAAACGUAUAAAAUAUUAUUUUUAAAAAAUGAAUCGCAUUUAUACGUUUGAGACAAAUUUAAAUGACAUUUUUACUGGGCACAAUAUAAAAAAAUCAGAAAAAAGUUGUGAACAUUGUUUAAAAAGAAAAAGGGUUUGUAAAUGUGAAACUAUAAAAAGAGAAUUAGGAUGUGAAGAAGAAGGUAUAAUAGAAGAACUGUGGGAAGUAAAAAAGUAUUAUGAAGACAUUUGUGAGAAAAUUGUAGAUAAAUACAAAGACGUGAUAAGUCGAUUUGAAUAUGAUAAAGAUAUAGUUGAGUAUAUAAAAAAUAAAAAAUUAAAUGACGAGAUAGAAUGUGAAGAUUGGUUAUAUUUUUAUGAAUUGUUAAAAGAAAGAAAAAUAUUAGAACGAUGCGUUGAUAUAAAAAAAACAAACGAAUUAUUAAUUCUAAAUACUUUUCAUUUUAAUGAAGAAGCUAAUUUCAUUAGUUGUUUAAAUUAUUAUAUUAAAACAAAUAAUUAUUCCAAUAUACAUCAUAGUUGGAUGGGUAUGAGUUUAAACUCAUUUAACGAGUAUUUAGAUUAUAAUAACAUAUGUAGUAAUAAUAUAAAUAAUAAUACUCACACUUUUGAAACAGAAAAAGUAAGUGUUCAGAAUUUGAAUAUCAAACAACAAAAAAUAGAUAAUUUAUACAUAUAUAAGAAUAUAGAUAAAAAUAACAAUAUAUCAACACAAGUACCACCUUUAUUAUUAUUAUUGUAUAAUUAUAAAAAAAUAUAUCCAUUAUAUUAUUAUUUAUAUAUAAUAGAAAAUGACAAAUGGGUAUCUGGUAUUAAUAAUACAGGUAAUGUACUUGACUAUGGUAGUGUUAAUUACAUAUGGAAUAAAGUAGUUAGAGGUGAUAGUAACAAAAUAAAAUUAUUUCAUUUAAUUACAUCCAAUUGUGUUAUAAACAAUGAUGAUAUAAACUUUAAUACAUUUUUAAAUAAAGAAAAAAAAAAUAUAGAAUUCAAGAUAUGCAAUUAUGUGAACUUGAAAAAAUGUUAUGUAUUAGUCAUUUAAUUUGUUCAUUAGGUAUGUUAAAUAUUGGUGGUUGUUUUAUUAUGAAAAUUAAAUUAUCUUUUAGUAAUACAUUAAUGUCUUUAUUUGCUAUUUUAUCGAUUUGUUUUAAAAAGUUAGAAGUAUAUAAACCAUCUUGUUGUUAUUUAAAAAAUAUAGUUUUUGUAGUGGCUACACAUUUUAUUGGUAUUACUUCGAUAUUUUUGGCUACCUUGAAUUCUCGACUCCAGUUAGCACAAAAGGAGUUAACUAAUUUGUUAUAUCAUCAGUCAUGUAGUACUAUAGCCUUAAACAUUGAGACUAACAUUAAAAAUGUCAAUAGUACUGACAAUGAUAUUAACACUAUAUCUACUACAAGGUCAAACAACUGUACAAACCACAACCUUAUUCCCAAAAAAUGGCUUACAGAUAAAUUUUUUGAAGAAUACACAACUUGUAUAAAACUAUUUAACGAAUGCCUUAUUAACAAUUUAAAACAAUGUAUAAAUGUCUCAAACAUUAAUUUAAUAAAAAAAAUAUAAAGAAUACGAAAGAUACA